Fukomys damarensis (Damara mole-rat) is the source of this 107-nucleotide small nuclear RNA. The record is from Ensembl. NCBI's taxonomy places the organism in Eukaryota, Metazoa, Chordata, Mammalia, Rodentia, Bathyergidae.
AUGCUCACUUCGGCAGCACAUAUACUAAAAUUGGAAAGAUACAGAGAAGAUUAGCAUGGCCCCUGCGCAAGGAUGAUACGCAAAUUCAUGAAGCAUUCCAUAUUUAA